RNAcentral lists this ribosomal RNA (402 nucleotides) under uncultured prokaryote. Its description in RNAcentral is "bacterial SSU rRNA". It matches the Rfam family "Bacterial small subunit ribosomal RNA", at positions 355 to 774 of the family's 1533-position model. The record is from RNAcentral.
UGGGGAAUCUUCCGCAAUGGGCGCAAGCCUGACGGAGCAACGCCGCGUGAGUGAAGAAGGCCUUCGGGUCGUAAAGCUCUGUCCUCAAGGAGGAUAAUGACGGUACCUAACCAGAAAGCCACGGCUAACUACGUGCCAGCAGCCGCGGUAAUACGUAGGUGGCAAGCGUUGUCCGGAAUUAUUGGGCGUAAAGGGCUCGCAGGCGGUUUCUUAAGUCUGAUGUGAAAGCCCCCGGCUCAACCGGGGAGGGUCAUUGGAAACUGGGGAACUUGAGUGCAGAAGAGGAGAGUGGAAUUCCACGUGUAGCGGUGAAAUGCGUAGAGAUGUGGAGGAACACCAGUGGCGAAGGCGACUCUCUGGUCUGUAACUGACGCUGAGACGCGAAAGCGUGGGGAGCAAACA